This 451-nucleotide ribosomal RNA is filed under the name uncultured bacterium. Its description in RNAcentral is "SSU rRNA". It matches the Rfam family "Bacterial small subunit ribosomal RNA", at positions 26 to 518 of the family's 1533-position model. The record is from RNAcentral.
AGAACGAACGCUGGCGGCAGGCUUAACACAUGCAAGUCGAGCGCUGUAGCAAUACAGAGCGGCGCACGGGUGAGUAACACGUGGGAACAUGCCUUUCGGUUCGGAAUAACUCAGGGAAACUUGUGCUAAUACCGGAUACGCCCUUACGGGGAAAGAUUUAUUGCCGAAAGAGUGGCCCGCGUUGGAUUAGCUAGUUGGCGGGGUAAAAGCCCACCAAGGCGACGAUCCAUAGCUGGUCUGAGAGGACGACCAGCCACACUGGGACUGAGACACGGCCCAGACUCCUACGGGAGGCAGCAGUGGGGAAUCUUGGACAAUGGGGGAAACCCUGAUCCAGCCAUGCCGCGUGAGUGAUGAAGGCCCUAGGGUUGUAAACCCCUUUCAGCAGGGACGAAGCGAAAGUGACGGUACCUGCAGAAGAAGCGCCGGCUAACUACGUGCCAGCAGCCGC